GGGUUUAGGAUGGUUAUCUAGUGACAGUGCAGUAGGGUUUAGGAUGGUUAUCUAGGGAGAGUGCAGUAGGGUUUAGGAUGGUUAUCUAGUGACAGUGCAGUAGGGUUUAGGAUGGUUAUCUAGUGAGAGUGCAGUAGGUUUAGGAUGGUUAUCUAGGGAGAGUGCAGUAGGGUUUAGGGUUUAUCAGGAUGUGGCAGAAAAACAAUGCGUUUGAGUGCUGAGGACAUUCAUUCUUAAUACUUCUGAGAGACAUUUUGUCUUAAAAGAUUUUCUGUUAAAUAAAGAAGUAUUAAUAUCAACACACAAAAACAAGAGAUUUAUAAGCUGCAUAAUGUCAUCGGAAUAAACGACCUAAAUAGUUUAAACAGCCUCGCUCUGGGACUGCAGCGCUGUAGGAUAAACAACAGAUUAGACUCUAUUUGCAUUACAAAUGUACAUACAAUAAACAGGAUGAGGCAGGAGCGUUCGCCGAGACAACUAUCAAGAAAGUCUUGCCAAAAUGUUGCCAACACCAUUAACAUCCUGCGCAUCAAAUAUUAAUGCUGUCUUACAAAAUGUUGUUGGACUACUUAAUAAAAAACAAAACAAAACAAAACAAGCAGCUACACAGAAACAGAAACAGCGACACAGAAGCAAAACAUGACAUAGAAAAUAGCCUAAUUAAAGCUGGUUUAUUAACAAUAAAGAGUGUGAAAAAUGUCCGUCCUCAGCACAGUAAAAAAACGCUACCAAGUGCUCUAAGCCUGGGGUGAAAAGGGCUAUAUGUAUAAGUGAUGUAGGGUGUAGUGGAGUUAUAUAGGGUCUAGUGUAAAAUACUCAUAUUAGGCUUCUGGUGUCUUCCAGAGGGGCUUCUGUAUCUGUCCCUCAUCGAAGGAGGUGUGGCCGCUGUAUCUGUUUAUCUCAUCGAAGAAGGUGUGGCCUCUGUGUCUGUCAGUCCCAGUGAAGGAGGUGUGGCCUCUGUGUCUGUCUAUCUAAUUGAAGGAGGUGUGGCCACUGUAUCUGUCUAUCUCAUUGAAGGAGGUGUGGAGUCUGUAUCUUUCAAUCUCAUUGAAGAAGGUGUGGCCUCUGUAGCUGUCUGUCCCAGUGAAGGAGGUGUGGCCUCUGUGUUUGUCUGUCCCAGUGAAGGAGGUUUCGCCUCUGUGUCUGUCUGUCCCAGUGAAGAAGGUGUGGCUUCUGUGUCUGUCAGUCCCAGUGAAGGAGGUGUGGACUCUGUGUCUGUCUGUCCCAGUGAAGGAGGUGUGGCCUCUGUGUCUGUCUGUCCCAGUGAAGGAGGUGUGGCCUCUAUGCCUCAGUCCCAUUUAAGUGGGAAUAGCCUCUGUGCCUCUCCAUCCCAGUAAAAGAGGCAUGGCCUGAUAGUUUUGCCUGCCUUAGUGAACGAGGCGUGGCUUCUCUAUCUGCCUAUCUUGUUGAAAGACUGCCGUGCCUGUUCGUCCCAAUAAAUGGGGUGUUGCCUCUGUGUCUGUCAGUCCAAGUGAAAAGGGCGUUGCCUAUGCGCCUGUCAGUUCCAAUGAAGUUAGUUGUUGUAGAACAACAAACUAGUUGCAUUUGUUAGUUGUAGAACCAGAUGAUGUUCAGUACUCGAUAUAAGCCAACAGUCCGAAUGUGUUCCUGUCCAUGCCUGCUCCCUACCUGUCCCUGUUUUGAAAAUUGCUUGCUCCUUCUGUUCACAGCUGCGGAUGUGUUAUAAAUAGAGCGGAGGAUUGAUGAGAGGACAGCGAAGCUUGCUGCGUGCUGGUGAUUUCUCCGUAGCGUUUGUCCAGACCCGGCAUCAGUGACAUUAAGCACACGCGCUCGGAGCUAGCAGGCCAUCACUCAGACGGCAGGAGUGUCUGCAUUUGUGCGUGUGUAGGAAGAUCUGAAUGGAAAGGCUGUAAAUUAUAGAGCAGCAGAGCUGCUAACCUCAUGUUGAGUUGUUAUCGUGUUUGCGUGUGUGCGCGCCUGUGGGGAAGCGACGAACCCACGCGUGGCCAGCCUUGUUUGCGUGCGAGCUCGAGCACCUCUUUGCGGCGCACACUCAAUCCCCGCUACGGCCUGAACGGCAAAGCUACUCAAACACAGUGGCAGUAAUGAGGGCAAUUACACAGGCUUAUCUAAAUCACUUGCACACAUGGGCUCAGUAAACACACACACACACACACACACACACACAUGGCAAACACCCCUUUCCCAUUGUGCAUCCACUUGGGCUUGGUUAUUUAUUAUUUAUUAAGUUAAUUAUGUCCCCGGUCAUGUUGACACACUUAACUUGCACUUCAGUGUCAGUGAACACAUGAGGUAUUCAAGCAGAACGCUGGCCACGGACGCACUUCCUUUACACAGUGUCUUAUUACAGUCUGAGAUUUUAGCAGAACCCUUAUCGCUGACCCUUUUACUCCAUUUUAUAACACAGAAAGAGGGCCGGCCCAAAUAGCAGUGGUGCGACACAAAAGCAUCUGCCUCAUUGUCCGGAGAUUGUGAAUUCAAAGCCUGACAGCAAAAUUGCGCUUCCCUUUGAGUGUGUUAUGAAAAGAUGGGAAUGGCUGGUUCCACGUGUCUUGGAAGGAAGCACUUGUGAGACUUCGUCCUCCCUGGAUGGGAGCUGUUCUUUGUUGGGGAGAGCUGACCGUGAGUGGGACUCCAGGAGAAAACGGAGGAGGGGGAAAAGAAAAUGAGGAUCAUUUUAAGUAGGCUCGCUAGUACAGUUCCAAAGAGGCGGCAACGGGAUACGCACUAACAGCGUAUGCAUUAGUGUGAUGUGCAUGUCAAAGAGUUAUGUUGGUUAUAUACAGUGUGUACAAUCCGUGAUUAAAAUAAAAUAAAAACCAGCCUGAUUACUUUAGAGGAGUGUAAAAAAAACAGCCUACACUGUAAGCGUGUAGCCGUGCGACAAUGACAAAGGUACUUACACCACAACUACCAAGAAAAUGUCAUCAUCAUAACUCACAUUUAGCUAGCUGUACUGCUUGUGUCACAGAUACAUCUGACUCAUACAGAUGAUGUAUCAUACAGAUACAUCUGACUCUAACCACCUUCAUACAGAUACAUCUGACU
Molecule: long non-coding RNA, 3030 nt
Organism: Ictalurus punctatus (channel catfish)
Lineage: Eukaryota; Metazoa; Chordata; Actinopteri; Siluriformes; Ictaluridae
Source: Ensembl